GUAGGUGGCAAGCGUUGUCCGGGAAUUAUUGGGGCGUAAAGCGCGCGCAGGCGGUCCUUUAAGUCUGAUGUGAAAGCCCACGGGCUCAACCGUGGGAGGGUCAUUGGAAACUGGGGGACUUGAGUGCAGAAGAGAAGAGUGGAAUUCCACGUGUAGCGGUGAAAUGCGUAGAGAUGUGGAGGAACACCAGUGGCGAAGGCGACUCUUUGGUCUGUAACUGACGCUGAGGCGCGAAAGCGUGGGGAGCAAGCAGGAUUAGAUACCCUGGUAGUCCACGCCGUAAACGAUGAGUGCUAAGUGUUAGAGGGUUUCCGCCCUUUAGUGCUGCAGCAAACGCAUUAAGCACUCCGCCUGGGGAGUACGGCCGCAAGGCUG
This 375-nucleotide ribosomal RNA is filed under the name uncultured organism. RNAcentral's name for it is "partial 16S ribosomal RNA". It matches the Rfam family "Bacterial small subunit ribosomal RNA", at positions 527 to 896 of the family's 1533-position model. The record is from RNAcentral.